Molecule: transfer RNA, 88 nt
Filed under: Burkholderia ubonensis
Lineage: Bacteria; Pseudomonadati; Pseudomonadota; Betaproteobacteria; Burkholderiales; Burkholderiaceae
Description: tRNA-Cys
Rfam family: tRNA
About the family: Transfer RNA (tRNA) molecules are approximately 80 nucleotides in length.
Source: RNAcentral
GCACGUGUGGCCGAGCGGCUGAAGGCACAGGACUGCAAAUCCUGCGAGCGUAAGCUCCACGCGAGUUCGAAUCUCGCCACGUGCUCCA